UGUGGUCAACUCAGCAAUCGGUGCUGUGCUUGUGUGGGUGGGGGGCCCCGUGCUUCCAGUGGUGGGUGUUGGGGUUGGGGUCACCGUAGUGGUGGUGCUGAUGGGUAUCGUUGUUGGGGUCUGUGUGCCGGUGGGUGUUGGGGUUGGGGUCACCGUGGUGGUGGUGGUGAUGGGUGUCAUGGUUGGGGUCUGUGUGCCGGUGGGUGUUGGGGUUGGGGUCACCGUAGUGGUGGUGGUGAUGGGUGUCAGGGUUGGGGUCUGUGUGCCGGUGGGUGUUGGGGUUGGGGUCACCGUAGUGGUGGUGGUGAUGGGUGUUGGUGUUGUACUCUGUGUGCUGGUGGGUGUUGGGGUUGGGGUCACCGUAGUGGUGGUGGUGAUUGGUGUCGGAGUUGGGUUCUCUGUCGGGGUGGUGGUGGUGGUGGUAGUGGU
This 429-nucleotide long non-coding RNA is filed under the name Homo sapiens (human). RNAcentral's name for it is "HSALNT0360936". Lineage: Eukaryota; Metazoa; Chordata; Mammalia; Primates; Hominidae. The record is from RNAcentral.